GCGAGAGCCUGUGUUUUCACGGUUUGUGAGAGAGCAAGCGCGCCAUCCUUGUGUUGUGUGUGGUGUUGUGCACUCUGUGCGAGUGCACAUGCAUUUUUCAACAACGCUUUAUUCAUUUCUUCUGAAAAUCUUUUGCUCACACGAGCACAAACAACCGA
Molecule: unclassified non-coding RNA, 158 nt
Filed under: soil metagenome
Description: partial internal transcribed spacer 1
Source: RNAcentral